Molecule: ribosomal RNA, 253 nt
Filed under: uncultured bacterium
Lineage: Bacteria
Description: partial 16S ribosomal RNA
Rfam family: Bacterial small subunit ribosomal RNA
Source: RNAcentral
UACGUAGGGUGCAAGCGUUAAUCGGAAUUACUGGGCGUAAAGCGUGCGCAGGCGGUGAUGUAAGACAGGUGUGAAAUCCCCGGGCUUAACCUGGGAACUGCAUUUGUGACUGCAUCGCUGGAGUGCGGCAGAGGGGGAUGGAAUUCCGCGUGUAGCAGUGAAAUGCGUAGAUAUGCGGAGGAACACCGACGGCGAAGGCAAUCCCCUGGGUCUGCACUGACGCUCAUGCACGAAAGCGUGGGGAGCAAACAGG